RNAcentral lists this ribosomal RNA (189 nucleotides) under uncultured Flavobacteriaceae bacterium. RNAcentral describes it as "partial 16S ribosomal RNA". It matches the Rfam family "Bacterial small subunit ribosomal RNA", at positions 338 to 524 of the family's 1533-position model. The record is from RNAcentral. Lineage: Bacteria; Pseudomonadati; Bacteroidota; Flavobacteriia; Flavobacteriales; Flavobacteriaceae.
CCUACGGGAGGCAGCAGUGAGGAAUAUUGGUCAAUGGGCGCAAGCCUGAACCAGCCAUGCCGCGUGCAGGAUGACGGUCCUAUGGAUCGUAAACUGCUUUUAUACAGGAAGAAACCCUCCCACGUGUGGGAGCUUGACGGUACUGUAGGAAUAAGGAUCGGCUAACUCCGUGCCAGCAGCCGCGGUAAU